CAAACGGCCCUUUUCAGGGCCACUAUGUUCUAUGCAAUUGAUCG
Non-coding RNA from Trichuris muris, 44 nucleotides. Lineage: Eukaryota; Metazoa; Nematoda; Enoplea; Trichinellida; Trichuridae. The record is from Rfam.